GAUGAACGCUAGCUACAGGCUUAACACAUGCAAGUCGAGGGGAAACGAUAUUGGAAGCUUGCUUCCGAUAGGCGUCGACCGGCGCACGGGUGAGUAACGCGUAUCCAACCUGCCCACCACUUGGGGAUAACCUUGCGAAAGUAAGACUAAUACCCAACGAUAUCUCUAGAAGCCAUCUGAAGGAGAUUAAAGAUUUAUCGGUGAUGGAUGGGGAUGCGUCUGAUUAGCUUGUUGGCGGGGUAACGGCCCACCAAGGCGACGAUCAGUCGGGGUUCUGAGAGGAAGGUCCCCCACAUUGGAACUGAGACACGGUCCAAACUCCUACGGGAGGCAGCGGUGAGGAAUAUUGGUCAAUGGACGAGAGUCUGAACCAGCCAAGUAGCGUGCAGGAUGACGGCCCUAUGGGUUGUAAACUGCUUUUAUAAGGGAAUAAAGUGAGCCUCGUGAGGCUUUUUGCAUGUACCUUAUGAAUAAGGACCGGCUAAUUCCGUGCCAGCCGCCGCGGUAA
RNAcentral lists this ribosomal RNA (508 nucleotides) under uncultured bacterium. Its description in RNAcentral is "partial 16S ribosomal RNA". It matches the Rfam family "Bacterial small subunit ribosomal RNA", at positions 28 to 523 of the family's 1533-position model. The record is from RNAcentral.